GAUCAUGGCUCAGAUUGAACGCUGGCGGCAGGCCUAACACAUGCAAGUCGAGCGGAUGAGUGGAGCUUGCUCCAUGAUUCAGUGGCGGACGGGUGAGUAAUGCCUAGGAAUCUGCCUGGUAGUGGGGGGACAACGUUUCGAAAGGAACGCUAAUACCGCAUACGUCCUACGGGAGAAAGUGGGGGAUCUUCGGACCUCGCGCUAUCAGAUGAGCCUAGGUCGGAUUAGCUAGUUGG
This 236-nucleotide ribosomal RNA is filed under the name uncultured bacterium. RNAcentral describes it as "partial 16S ribosomal RNA". It matches the Rfam family "Bacterial small subunit ribosomal RNA", at positions 15 to 252 of the family's 1533-position model. The record is from RNAcentral.